This 497-nucleotide ribosomal RNA is filed under the name Pachelpheus pachyacanthus. Its description in RNAcentral is "partial small subunit ribosomal RNA". Lineage: Eukaryota; Metazoa; Arthropoda; Malacostraca; Decapoda; Alpheidae. The record is from RNAcentral.
CGGUGAAAUUUGGAUUUUGAAAGUGUAAUAUGAAUAGGUUUUAGAAAUUUAACUUAAUACUGAGAAGUUAAUAUUAAAGACCGGGAUUAGAUACCCCGUUAUUAUUAGUGAAACGAGAUUUUGGGGGUAGUAACUAGUUAUGAUCUUGAAACUCAAAGGAUUUGGCGGUAAUUAAGUCUAGUUAGAGGAACCUGUGCCAUAAACGAUAAACCACGAGGAUCUAGCUUUAUUUUGUUAAUCAAUAUGUAUAUCGCCAUUAUUAGAUAAUUUUUAAUGAAAUCUAUCGUAAUUAAAAUUUUUAAGUAUAUUAGGUCAAGGUGCAGUAAAUAAUAAAGUGGGGAUGUGGGUUACAAUUUAGUUUAUGAAUUACGAAUGAGUAUUAUUGAAAAUUACUUUGAAGGUGGAUUUAAUAGUAAGUUUGGCGUAUUAAGCUUUAUUGAUAAAAGCUCUUGAUUAUGUACACAUCGCCCGUCGUUCUCGCUUUUAAAGGUGAGAUA